This 392-nucleotide ribosomal RNA is filed under the name uncultured Gammaproteobacteria bacterium. RNAcentral's name for it is "bacterial SSU rRNA". It matches the Rfam family "Bacterial small subunit ribosomal RNA", at positions 370 to 779 of the family's 1533-position model. Lineage: Bacteria; Pseudomonadati; Pseudomonadota; Gammaproteobacteria. The record is from RNAcentral.
GAUGGGGGAAACCCUGACGCAGCGAUGCCGCGUGAGUGAAGAAGGCCCUAGGGUUGUAAAACUCUUUCACCGGUGAAGAUAAUGACGGUAGCCGGAGAAGAAGCCCGGGCUAACUCCGUGCCAGCAGCCGCGGUAAUACGGAGGGGGCUAACGUUGUUCGGAAUUACUGGGCGUAAAGCGCGCGUAGGCGGGUUAGAUAGUUGAGGGUGAAAUCCCGGAGCUUAACUCCGGAACUGCCUUCAAUACUACUAAUCUUGAGUUCGGAAGAGGUGAGUGGAAUUCCUAGUGUAGAGGUGAAAUUCGUAGAUAUUAGGAAGAACAUCAGUGGCGAAGGCGACUCACUGGUCCGAUACUGACGCUGAGGUGCGAAAGCGUGGGGAGCAAAUAGGAUU